AUUGAACGCUGGCGGCAUGCUUUACACAUGCAAGUCGAACGGUAACAGGGAGCUUGCUCCGCUGACGAGUGGCGAACGGGUGAGUAAUGCAUCGGAACGUACCCAGUCGUGGGGAUAACGUAGCGAAAGUUACGCUAAUACCGCAUACGUCCUGAGGGAGAAAGCGGGGGACCGUAAGGCCUCGCGCGAUUGGAGCGGCCGAUGUCGGAUUAGCUAGUUGGUAGGGUAAAGGCCUACCAAGGCGACGAUCCGUAGCGGGUCUGAGAGGAUGAUCCGCCACACUGGGACUGAGACACGGCCCAGACUCCUACGGGAGGCAGCAGUGGGGAAUUUUGGACAAUGGGCGAAAGCCUGAUCCAGCCAUGCCGCGUGAGCGAAGAAGGCCU
This 386-nucleotide ribosomal RNA is filed under the name uncultured bacterium. Its description in RNAcentral is "bacterial SSU rRNA". It matches the Rfam family "Bacterial small subunit ribosomal RNA", at positions 29 to 417 of the family's 1533-position model. The record is from RNAcentral.